UACGUAGGGGGCUAGCGUUGUCCGGAUUUAUUGGGCGUAAAGAGCGCGUAGGCGGCUCGUUAAGUGAGAAGUGAAAGCUCUUGGCUCAACCAAGAAACCGCUUUUCAUACUGGCGAGCUAGAGUGAUGCAGAGGUGGAUAGAAUUCCCGGUGUAGCGGUGAAAUGCGUUGAUAUCGGGAGGAAUACCCGUGGCGAAGGCGGUCCACUGGGCAUCAACUGACGCUGAGGCGCGAAAGCGUGGGUAGCAAACAGGAUUAGAACUACCGAGUC
Molecule: ribosomal RNA, 270 nt
Filed under: uncultured bacterium
Lineage: Bacteria
Description: partial 16S ribosomal RNA
Rfam family: Bacterial small subunit ribosomal RNA
Source: RNAcentral